This 253-nucleotide ribosomal RNA is filed under the name uncultured bacterium. Its description in RNAcentral is "partial 16S ribosomal RNA". It matches the Rfam family "Bacterial small subunit ribosomal RNA", at positions 524 to 776 of the family's 1533-position model. The record is from RNAcentral.
UACAGAGGGUGCAAGCGUUGUUCGGAAUUAUUGGGCGUAAAGCGCGUGUAGGCGGCUUUGCAAGUCGGGUGUGAAAGCCCUCAGCUCAACUGAGGAAGUGCGCCCGAAACUGCAGAGCUUGAGUACCGGAGAGGAUGGCGGGAUUCCCCAAGUAGAGGUGAAAUUCGUAGAUAUGGGGAGGAACACCGGUGGCGAAGGCGGCCAUCUGGACGGAUACUGACGCUGAGACGCGAAAGCGUGGGUAGCAAACAGG